Molecule: ribosomal RNA, 277 nt
Filed under: uncultured prokaryote
Description: partial 16S ribosomal RNA
Rfam family: Bacterial small subunit ribosomal RNA
Source: RNAcentral
UACGGAGGAUCCGAGCGUUAUCCGGAUUUAUUGGGUUUAAAGGGUGCGCAGGCGGGAGAUUAAGUCGGCGGUUAAAUUUUGCAGCUCAACUGUAAAAGUGCCUUCGAAACUGGUUUCCUUGAGUGUAGAUGAAGUAGGCGGAAUUUGUGGUGUAGCGGUGAAAUGCAUAGAUAUCACGAGGAACUCCGAUUGCGCAGGCAGCUUACUAAACUACUACUGACGCUCAGGCACGAAGGCGUGGGGAUCAAACAGGAUUAGAUACCCCGGUAGUCCCUGA